AUGCCAAAGAAGGAUAGGCGCUCAGCUAUCACAUACAUCAAUGAUGACAAAGAGCGUGAUUUCACGUUCUCCAAGCGACGUGGCGGUUUGUUUAAGGUCGCUGCUGACCUCUCUGCCGUGACCAGCGCUAGGGUUGCUAUCGUCGUAGAGAAGGAAAAUGAGAAGAUGCAUUCCUUUGGGACGCCAUCUGCUGACCCCAUUGUUGAUGCUUUCCUAGCAGGUGCACCACUGGCAAUUCCACUUGCCGAUGAGGCAACGACUACUAGGAUUGCACAACUACAAAGUGAGGUGGCUCGCCUAGAUAUGCAUUGCAUGACAGAGUUUAAGGAAAACCAACUCUCCAUCAAGCAUAUGAAACAAAUCCUGGAGCAACACCCAGGUACGGUGGCAAACCUUAUCUUCUCGAAGGAAGAAGAACUCGGUCUUGAAGAUCUAAAAAAUCUAUCCAAUGAAAUCUAUCGUGUCCAUGAGGAAAUUGGACACCGAUUGCCACCAUUGCAUUAUGGCCACAAGGCCAUGACUAGUGGUGCAAGCAUGAUACAAAAUAUGCUACCAUCAAGUGGUCCACCAUCGAAUCCCAUGAAGAUUGUCCCUUCAUCAGUGCACUCACCGUGGGCUCACCAUCUGCCACAACACCAGAUGCCUUCGUCUUCACUACCACCACCACCACCAGGGCAGAUUGUGGCACCACAGUUUCCUUAG
Molecule: ribosomal RNA, 702 nt
Filed under: Triticum aestivum (bread wheat)
Lineage: Eukaryota; Viridiplantae; Streptophyta; Magnoliopsida; Poales; Poaceae
Description: partial small subunit ribosomal RNA
Source: RNAcentral